GGGGAAUAUUGGACAAUGGGCGCAAGCCUGAUCCAGCCAUGCCGCGUGUGUGAAGAAGGCCUUCGGGUUGUAAAGCACUUUUGUUGGGGAAGAAACAGCGUCGGAUAAUACCUGGCGUGAAUGACGGUACCCAAAGAAUAAGCACCGGCUAACUUCGUGCCAGCAGCCGCGGUAAUACGAAGGGUGCAAGCGUUACUCGGAAUUACUGGGCGUAAAGCGUGCGUAGGCGGUUUGUUAAGUCUGAUGUGAAAGCCCCGGGCUCAACCUGGGAAUGGCAUUGGAUACUGGCAGGCUAGAAUGUGGUAGAGGGUGGUGGAAUUCCCGGUGUAGCGGUGAAAUGCGUAGAGAUCGGGAGGAACAUCCGUGGCGAAGGCGGCCACCUGGACCAACAUUGACGCUGAGGCACGAAAGCGUGGGGAGCAAAC
RNAcentral lists this ribosomal RNA (425 nucleotides) under uncultured bacterium. Its description in RNAcentral is "bacterial SSU rRNA". It matches the Rfam family "Bacterial small subunit ribosomal RNA", at positions 356 to 773 of the family's 1533-position model. The record is from RNAcentral.